Molecule: ribosomal RNA, 253 nt
Filed under: uncultured bacterium
Lineage: Bacteria
Description: partial 16S ribosomal RNA
Rfam family: Bacterial small subunit ribosomal RNA
Source: RNAcentral
UACGUAGGUGGCAAGCGUUGUUCGGCAUUAUUGGGCGUAAAGGGCGCGUAGGCGGCCAUGCGUGUCUCCCGUGAAAUCCCUCGGCUCAACCGAGGACGUGCGGAAGAAACUGCAAGGCUCGAGUCCGGAAGAGGGGGGCGGAAUUCCCAGUGUAGCGGUGAAAUGCGUAGAUGUUGGGAGGAACACCAGUGGCGAAGGCGGUCCCCUGGGCCGGAACUGACGCUGAGGCGCGAAAGCGUGGGUAGCAAACGGG